AACUUUUAACAACGGAUCUCUUGGCUCUGGCAUCGAUGAAGAACGCAGCGAAAUGCGAUAAGUAGUGUGAAUUGCAGAAUUCAGUGAAUCAUCGAAUCUUUGAACGCACAUUGCGCCCCUUGGUAUUCCAUGGGGCAUGCCUGUUCGAGCGUCAUCUACACCCUCAAGCUCUGCUUGGUGUUGGGCGUCUGUCCCGCCUCUGCGCGUGGACUCGCCCCAAAUUCAUUGGCAGCGGUCUUUGCCUCCUCUCGCGCAGCACAUUGCGCUUCUCGAGGUGCGCGGCCCGCGUCCACGAAGCAACAUUACCGUCUUUGACCUCGGAUCAGGUAGGGAUACCCGCUGAACUUAAGCAUAUCAAUAAGCGGAGGCU
Molecule: unclassified non-coding RNA, 370 nt
Filed under: uncultured Microdiplodia
Lineage: Eukaryota; Fungi; Ascomycota; Dothideomycetes; Botryosphaeriales; Botryosphaeriaceae
Description: sequence contains ITS2
Rfam family: 5.8S ribosomal RNA (bases 1-154)
Source: RNAcentral